This 477-nucleotide ribosomal RNA is filed under the name uncultured Selenomonas sp. RNAcentral's name for it is "SSU rRNA". It matches the Rfam family "Bacterial small subunit ribosomal RNA", at positions 289 to 758 of the family's 1533-position model. Lineage: Bacteria; Bacillati; Bacillota; Negativicutes; Selenomonadales; Selenomonadaceae. The record is from RNAcentral.
GGUCUGAGAGGAUGAACGGCCACAUUGGGACUGAGACACGGCCCAGACUCCUACGGGAGGCAGCAGUGGGGAAUCUUCCGCAAUGGGCGCAAGCCCGACGGAGCAACGCCGCGUGAGUGAAGAAGGUCUUCGGAUCGUAAAGCUCUGUUGACGGGGACGAACGUGCGUGAUGCGAACAGUGUCAUGCAAUGACGGUACCUGUCGAGGAAGCCACGGCUAACUACGUGCCAGCAGCCGCGGUAAUACGUAGGUGGCGAGCGCUGUCCGGAAUCAUUGGGCGUAAAGGGAGCGCAAGCGGGCAAGUAAGUCUUUCUUAAAAGUGCGGGGCUCAACCCCGUGAUGGGAAAGAAACUACAUGUCUUGAGUACAGGAGAGGAAAGCGGAAUUCCCAGUGCAGCGGUGAAAUGCGUAGAUAUUGGGAGGAACACCAGUGGCGAAGGCGGCUUUCUGGACUGCAACUGACGCUGAGGCUCGAAA